GCACAAGCAGCGGAGCGUGUGGUUUAAUUCGAUGAUACACGAAGAACCUUACCAAGGUUUGACAUGCAAGUGGUAGUGAACUGAAAGGGAACGACCCUUCGGGGAGCUUGCACAGGUGCUGCAUGGCUGUCGUCAGCUCGUGUCGUGAGAUGUUCGGUUAAGUCCGCUAACGAGCGCAACCCUCACUGUGUGUUAUACGUGUCACACGGGACCGCCGGUUUUAAGCCGGAGGAAGGUGGGGAUGACGUCAAGUCAGCAUGGCCUUUAUAUCUUGGGCCACACACACGCUACAAUGGCCAGUACAAUGGGAUGCCAAGCCGCAAGGCGGAGCCAACCCUCAAAGCUGGUCUCAGUUCGGAUUGCAGGCUGCAACUCGCCUGCAUGAGGCCGGAGUUGCUAGUAACCGCAGGUCAGCUAUACUGCGGUGAAUACGUUCCCGGGGCUU
This 445-nucleotide ribosomal RNA is filed under the name uncultured Anaerolineaceae bacterium. RNAcentral describes it as "bacterial SSU rRNA". It matches the Rfam family "Bacterial small subunit ribosomal RNA", at positions 923 to 1382 of the family's 1533-position model. Lineage: Bacteria; Bacillati; Chloroflexota; Anaerolineae; Anaerolineales; Anaerolineaceae. The record is from RNAcentral.